This is an RNA transcript of Nomascus leucogenys (northern white-cheeked gibbon), 1115 nucleotides long. It is a transcript of the gene named putative postmeiotic segregation increased 2-like protein 1, with no coding region annotated. The record is from RefSeq and is a predicted model, not a curated record. Lineage: Eukaryota; Metazoa; Chordata; Mammalia; Primates; Hylobatidae. The transcript has 7 exons.
AUGCUUUCAGUUUUCAAGAAAGAAGACACCAUUGUUGCCAAAGAUUUUGGUAAUUUGAGAGAUAGAAUUACAGAACCUGCUAAGGCCAUCGAACCUAUUGGUCGGAAGUCAGUCCAUGAGAUUUGCUCUGGGCCGGUGGUACUGAGUCUAAGCACUGCGGUGAAAGAGUUAGUAGAAAACAGUCUGGAUGCUGGUGCCACUAAUAUUGAUCUAAAGCUUAAGGAUUAUGGAGUGGAUCUCACUGAAGUUUCAGACAAUGGAUGUGGGGUAGAAGAAGAAACUUCCAAGGCUUAAGUAACUCUGAAACAUCACACAACUAAGAUUCAAGAGUUUGCCGACCUAACUCAGGUUGAAACUUUCGGUUUUCAGGGGGAAGCUCUGAGCUCACUUUGUGCUCUGAGCAAUGUCACCAUUUCUACCUGCCAUGCAUCGACAAAGGUUGGGACUCAACUGGUGUUUGAUCACAAUGGGAAAAUCAUCCAGAAAACCCCCUACCCCUGCCCCAGAGGGACCACAGUCAGCGUGAAGCAGUUAUUUUCUACGGUACCUGUGCGCCAUAAGGAAUAUCAAAGGAAUGUUAAGAAGGUACAACGUGCCUGCUUCCCCUUCACCUUCUGCCAUAAUUGUCAGUUUCCUGAGGACUCCCCAGCCACGCUUCCUGUACAGCCUGCAGAACUGACUCCUAGAAGUACCCCAACCCCCACCCCCACCCCUACCCCUGCUCCCAGGAGGACAAUGUGAUCACUGUAUUCAGCUCCAUCAAGAACGGUCCAGGUUCUUCUAGAUGAUCUGCACACAUGGCUCCUCUCCUCCUUCCUGGUGUCUGCCUUUAGCAUUGGAAUAAAGUUCCUGCUGAAAAUCCACAUCUCCCCUGGGCCCAGUGUUCUGGAAGUGAGAGAGACGAUGUGACACUUCAAGGAGGCAGCUCUCUAGACAGGAAGGUUAUUCACGUCCCAUGUCAAGUCUAACUAGAGUUCAGAGCAAUUGAGAAAUGCAAUUUUAUCUCCUGCCUUUCAUUCUAUACCCUGCUUCUGAACCAUCGUGUUCAACUGUGAUACUCACACUUUGGUGACCAUGACUCCAAAACUCACUUAAUACACCCAAGGUCAGCCCCA